UUGGAGGGCAAGUCUGGUGCCAGCAGCCGCGGUAAUUCCAGCUCCAAUAGCGUAUAUUAAAGUUGUUGCAGUUAAAAAGCUCGUAGUUGAACCUUGGGUCUGGCUGGCCGGUCCGCCUCACCGCGAGUACUGGUCCGGCUGGACCUUUCCUUCUGGGGGAACCCCAUGGCCUUCACUGGCUGUGGGGGGAACCAGGACUUUUACUGUGAAAAAAUUAGAGUGUUCAAAGCAGGCCUUUGCUCGAAUACAUUAGCAUGGAAUAAUAGAAUAGGACGUGCGG
RNAcentral lists this ribosomal RNA (280 nucleotides) under uncultured Ascomycota. RNAcentral's name for it is "partial 18S ribosomal RNA". It matches the Rfam family "Eukaryotic small subunit ribosomal RNA", at positions 548 to 834 of the family's 1831-position model. Lineage: Eukaryota; Fungi; Ascomycota. The record is from RNAcentral.